AGAGCCCAAACCAAGAAGCUUGCUUCUUGGGGUUGUAGGACACUCUAUACGGAGUUACAAAAGAAAGUUAUAAAUGAAGCGGUCUGGAAAGGCCCGCCAAAGACGGUAACAGCCCGGUAGUUGAAAUAGCUUUCCCUCCAGAGUGGAUCCUGAGUACGGCGGAACACGUGAAAUUCCGUCGGAAUCCGGGAGGACCAUCUCCCAAGGCUAAAUACGCCCUAGUGACCGAUAGUGAACCAGUACCGUGAGGGAAAGGUGAAAAGCACCCCGGAAGGGGAGUGAAACAGUUCCUGAAACCGUGUGCCUACAAGUAGUUAGAGCCCGUUAAUGGGUGAUAGCGUGCCUUUUGUAGAAUGAACCGGCGAGUUACGAUUUGUUGCAAGGUUAAGCGGAAAAAGCGGAGCCGUAGCGAAAGCGAGUCUGAAUAGGGCGCAUAAGUAACAGGUCGUAGACCCGAAACCAGGUGAUCUACCCAUGUCCAGGAUGAAGGUAAGGUAAUACUUACUGGAGGUCCGAACCCACGCACGUUGAAAAG
RNAcentral lists this ribosomal RNA (535 nucleotides) under Listeria monocytogenes. Its description in RNAcentral is "bacterial LSU rRNA". It matches the Rfam family "Bacterial large subunit ribosomal RNA", at positions 264 to 796 of the family's 2925-position model. Lineage: Bacteria; Bacillati; Bacillota; Bacilli; Caryophanales; Listeriaceae. The record is from RNAcentral.